GUGUCAGCAGCCGCGGUAAUACGUAGGCAGCAAGCGUUGUUCGGAGUUACUGGGCGUAAAGAGUGCGUAGGCGGUUCUCUAAGUUCGUUGUGAAAUCUCCCGGCUCAACUGGGAGGGUGCGGCGAAGACUGGGGAGCUGGAGUGUGGGAAAGGCAAGCGGAAUUCCUGGUGUAGCGGUGAAAUGCGUAGAUAUCAGGAGGAACACCGGCGGUGUAGACGGCUUGCUAGACCAUGACUGACGCUGAGGCACGAAAGCGUGGGGAGCAAACAGGAUUAGAUACCCUGGUAGUCCACGCCCUAAACGAUGCAUACUUGGUGUGGGCAGUUCAUUCUGUCCGUGCCGGAGCUAACGCGUUAAGUAUGCCGCCUGGGGAGUACGGUCGCAAGGCUGAA
Molecule: ribosomal RNA, 393 nt
Filed under: uncultured bacterium
Lineage: Bacteria
Description: bacterial SSU rRNA
Rfam family: Bacterial small subunit ribosomal RNA
Source: RNAcentral